Molecule: non-coding RNA, 83 nt
Organism: Amylocarpus encephaloides
Lineage: Eukaryota; Fungi; Ascomycota; Leotiomycetes; Helotiales
Source: the annotation of a GenBank genome assembly
GCCUGCUUGGCCAAGUGGUAUGGCGUUCCACUCGUAUUUACGAGUAUAUGGGGAGAUCCUCGGUUCAAUCCCGAGAGUGGGCA